This 528-nucleotide ribosomal RNA is filed under the name Triticum aestivum (bread wheat). RNAcentral describes it as "partial small subunit ribosomal RNA". The record is from RNAcentral. Lineage: Eukaryota; Viridiplantae; Streptophyta; Magnoliopsida; Poales; Poaceae.
AUGACCCUCGCAACAUCUUCCUCCAGGAUCCUGUUGAAUGGGGACCCGGGCACCCCUUUCGCUCAUGCAUGCGGCCUGCGUCAGGGUGACCCCAUAUCUCUGAUGCUAUUCAUCCUAGCCAUCAACACUCUCCAGCUUAUGCUCCGUGCGGCCUCUCUGGAGGGGAUCCUCAAGCCGAUCAAGGCUCGUUCGGCUACAUGCAGAAUCUCCCUCUACGCUGAUGAUGCUGGCAUCUUCAUCAAUCCGGACAAGGAUGAGAUCGACGCCAUCACAAUGAUCCUUGCCUGUUUUGGCGAGGCUUCAGGCCUCAUCACCAACGUAACCAAGAUGAAAGUGUUCCCCAUCCACUGUCACGGGCUCGAUCUUACAAACAUCCUUUCAGGCUUCCCCGUGAAGAUUGCCUCCUUCCCCCACAAAGUACCUGGGCCUCCCCCUCCAUACUGGGUGGCUCAAAAGAGCGGACCUCGAACCUCUCUUCGACAAGGCAAUGGGCAUACUGCCAGGGUGGAAGGGCAAAAACCUCGCUAG